RNAcentral lists this ribosomal RNA (322 nucleotides) under uncultured Bacteroidota bacterium. Its description in RNAcentral is "bacterial SSU rRNA". It matches the Rfam family "Bacterial small subunit ribosomal RNA", at positions 28 to 351 of the family's 1533-position model. The record is from RNAcentral. Lineage: Bacteria; Pseudomonadati; Bacteroidota.
GAUGAACGCUAGCGGCAGGCCUAACACAUGCAAGUCGAGGGGUAGAGGAAGCUUGCUUCCUUGAGACCGGCGCACGGGUGCGUAACGCGUAUGCAAUCUACCUUGUACAGGGGGAUAGCCCAGAGAAAUUUGGAUUAAUACCUCAUAGUAUUAUGACUUGGCAUCGAUUUAUAAUUAAAGUUCCAACGGUACAAGAUGAGCAUGCGUCCCAUUAGUUAGUUGGUAAGGUAACGGCUUACCAAGACAAUGAUGGGUAGGGGUCCUGAGAGGGAGAUCCCCCACACUGGUACUGAGACACGGACCAGACUCCUACGGGUGGCAG